GCGCAGCAGGCGCGAAAAUUUUGCAAUGCGCGCAAGCGUGACAAAGUCAUCCCGAGUGCCACCCGCUGAGGGUGGCUUUUCCACAGUCUAAAAAGCUGUGGGAAUAAGGAGAGGGCAAGUCUGGUGUCAGCCGCCGCGGUAAUACCAGCUCUCCGAGUGGUGGGGAUGUUUAUUGGGCCUGAAGCAUCCGUAGCUGGCUGAGCAAGUUCUCCGUUAAAUCCAGCGAUUUAAUCGUUGGACUGCGGAGGAUACUGUUCGGCUAGGGGGCGGGAGAGGCCGACGGUAUUCUCGGGGUAGGGGUGAAAUCCUAUAAUCCCGGGAAGACCACCAGUGGCGAAGGCUGUCGGCUAGAACGCGCCCGACGGUGAGGGAUGAAAGCUGGGGGAGCGAACCGGAUUAGAUACCCGGGUAGUCC
This 415-nucleotide ribosomal RNA is filed under the name uncultured crenarchaeote. RNAcentral's name for it is "partial 16S ribosomal RNA". It matches the Rfam family "Archaeal small subunit ribosomal RNA", at positions 330 to 747 of the family's 1478-position model. Lineage: Archaea; Thermoproteati; Thermoproteota. The record is from RNAcentral.